This 426-nucleotide ribosomal RNA is filed under the name uncultured bacterium. Its description in RNAcentral is "bacterial SSU rRNA". It matches the Rfam family "Bacterial small subunit ribosomal RNA", at positions 356 to 773 of the family's 1533-position model. The record is from RNAcentral.
GGGGAAUUUUGGACAAUGGGCGAAAGCCUGAUCCAGCCAUGCCGCGUGUAUGAAGAAGGCCUUCGGGUUGUAAAGUACUUUUGUUAGGGAAGAAAAGCUUAUUGCUAAUAUCAGUGAGCCAUGACGGUACCUAAAGAAUAAGCACCGGCUAACUACGUGCCAGCAGCCGCGGUAAUACGUAGGGUGCAAGCGUUAACCGGAAUUACUGGGCGUAAAGCGAGCGCAGGCGGUUAUCUAAGUCAGGUGUGAAAGCCCCGAGCUCAACUUGGGACGUGCAUUUGAAACUGGGUAACUAGAGUGUGUCAGAGGGGGGUAGAAUUCCACGUGUAGCAGUGAAAUGCGUAGAGAUGUGGAGGAAUACCGAUGGCGAAGGCAGCCCCCCUGGGAUAACACUGACGCUCAUGCUCGAAAGCGUGGGUAGCAAAC